Molecule: long non-coding RNA, 845 nt
Organism: Symphalangus syndactylus (siamang)
Lineage: Eukaryota; Metazoa; Chordata; Mammalia; Primates; Hylobatidae
Source: RefSeq, a predicted model, not a curated record
AAUCUCCCUUCCAGAUCAAAACUUCAGAGGGCAAAAGUUCAAGAAAGGAUUUAUUUUUAAUGUUGAAAGAGAAGAGAUUGUGAGUAAAAUCGAGAACAGUGAUUAAAAUGCAAAAGCCCAGGAAGCUCAGAAGUGCUGUUUGGUUUGCUGAGUGUUUGUAUUUUCUCAGUCAGAAGCCAGCCAAAUAUACCUGCCUUAUUCCUGAAAGGUUUUUCUAACUGGCUGCUAGCCUACAAUAAAAACCAUUUUCUACAGCCUUAAUGUGUGCUGAGGAGGGGUGGGGGAAUGGUUAAAAGAAGUCCUAUGACCAGGAACAGGCAGACCAGCCUGGAAAAACCCUUCAGCCUCCACUGGAGGGGAACAAACCUUGGCCAUGCACCAGCACUUCUUCCACCAACCCUCGGGGGGAAACAGUGACUUACGGAGGGAACCAUCUGACAUGGGCUCUGAUCCUCCUGGUUCUACAAUCUGUUUCAUGGGAAAGAAAGCUUACUUGCUUGUGUAACUGAAAGAAAAGUGCAUCUAAUGUCCUUCAGGUAGGAACUAUAUUUCAAGAAGGGUGGUCAUGCCUGUGCUGCUCCCAGAAGACUCAGAUCCACUGAAAGAAAUGCAAUCCUUCCCCACAGGCAACCUUUCCUGAGGAGAAGAAGGAGCUUCUCUAACUGUCACAUGAAUAGAAAAUGUUGAAGAGACCUGCCUUUUUCAGAGGAAGGGAAAGUUUCACGUCCACCAUACUGUCAGCUCUACAAGGGCAAGCCUGCCUGAUUCACCAGCUGUAUUCACAGAACUAUGCUGGAAAAGGAAUUGUGGGAUAACUAAGUUUGGACAAAUAAAUGAAUGUGUAA